RNAcentral lists this long non-coding RNA (301 nucleotides) under Panax ginseng (ginseng). RNAcentral's name for it is "long non-coding RNA (PGIN_LNC013645)". The record is from RNAcentral. Lineage: Eukaryota; Viridiplantae; Streptophyta; Magnoliopsida; Apiales; Araliaceae.
GGAAUUGGAGAGGAGAGAGAAAGCCAAUAAGAAGACGGCGAAUCCAGCUGCCGCUAUUCCCCACUUCCAUUUUCUCCACCAUAUUCGCCGGCUUACCAUUAAAACCCCAUUAUCAAGAUUCAGCGCCAUUCCACUCCACCACUGCUGUGGUGAACUAAUAAAUCAAAUCCUGUUGUUACUUCAGGGGUGUAAAAUUACUUAAUUCAUUCAUCCUCUGCGAGUUGGAAGUAGGAACAAAUAAGGGGAGAAUACUUUUCCUUUUUAUUUAGGGAUUUUGGCUGUGUUUGAUUAUAUAUUAAUU